GAUGAACGCUGGCGGCGUGCCUAAUACAUGCAAGUCGAGCGAACAGACGAGGAGCUUGCUCCUCUGACGUUAGCGGCGGACGGGUGAGUAACACGUGGAUAACCUACCUAUAAGACUGGGAUAACUUCGGGAAACCGGAGCUAAUACCGGAUAACAUGUUGAACCGCAUGGUUCAACAGUGAAAGACGGUCUUGCUGUCACUUAUAGAUGGAUCCGCGCCGCAUUAGCUAGUUGGUAAGGUAACGGCUUACCAAGGCAACGAUGCGUAGCCGACCUGAGAGGGUGAUCGGCCACACUGGAACUGAGACACGGUCCAGACUCCUACGGGAGGCAGCAGUAGGGAAUCUUCCGCAAUGGGCGAAAGCCUGACGGAGCAACGCCGCGUGAGUGAAGAAGGUCUUCGGAUCGUAAAACUCUGUUAUUAGGGAAGAACAAAUGUGUAAGUAACUAUGCACGUCUUGACGGUACCUAAUCAGAAAGCCACGGCUAACUACGUGCCAGCAGCCGCGGUAAUACGUAGGUGGCAAGCGUUAUCCGGAAUUAUUGGGCGUAAAGCGCGCGUAGGCGGUUUUUUAAGUCUGAUGUGAAAGCCCACGGCUCAACCGUGGAGGGUCAUUGGAAACUGGAAAACUUGAGUGCAGAAGAGGAAAGUGGAAUUCCAUGUGUAGCGGUGAAAUGCGCAGAGAUAUGGAGGAACACCAGUGGCGAAGGCGACUUUCUGGUCUGUAACUGACGCUGAUGUGCGAAAGCGUGGGGAUCAAACAGGAUUAGAUACCCUGGUAGUCCACGCCGUAAACGAUGAGUGCUAAGUGUUAGGGGGUUUCCGCCCCUUAGUGCUGCAGCUAACGCAUUAAGCACUCCGCC
This 864-nucleotide ribosomal RNA is filed under the name Staphylococcus sp. M_A_11/10_2(1). Its description in RNAcentral is "bacterial SSU rRNA". It matches the Rfam family "Bacterial small subunit ribosomal RNA", at positions 28 to 873 of the family's 1533-position model. The record is from RNAcentral. Lineage: Bacteria; Bacillati; Bacillota; Bacilli; Caryophanales; Staphylococcaceae.